RNAcentral lists this ribosomal RNA (393 nucleotides) under uncultured bacterium. Its description in RNAcentral is "partial 16S ribosomal RNA". It matches the Rfam family "Bacterial small subunit ribosomal RNA", at positions 523 to 918 of the family's 1533-position model. The record is from RNAcentral.
AUACGGAGGAUGCGAGCGUUAUCCGGAUUUAUUGGGUUUAAAGGGUGCGUAGGCUGUUUUUCAAGUCAGGGGUGAAAUGCCGGGGCUCAACUCCGGAGCUGCCUUUGAUACUGGGAGGCUGGAAUACUGUUGCCGUGGGAGGAAUGAGUAGUGUAGCGGUGAAAUGCAUAGAUAUUACUCAGAACACCGAUUGCGAAGGCAUCUCACGAAGCAGUGAUUGACACUGAGGCACGAAAGCGUGGGGAUCAAACAGGGUUAGAUACCCUGGUAGUCCACGCAGUAAACGAUGAUAACUAACCGUUGGCGAUAGACAGCCAGUGGCCAAGCGAAAGCGAUAAGUUAUCCACCUGGGGAGUACGACCGCAAGGUUGAAACUCAAAGGAAUUGACGGGG